UGUAAAAGCAACAAACUGCCGUAGACAGUAGGUGCCGUAAGGCAUAAGUUUGAAACGCCUACCGAGGAUAUGAUUUCUGAUAAGAAUGAAUUCUAAAUCCUCUUUGUCUUAGGAGCAAUCUGAAGAUAAAGAGGAUUUUUUUAAUCUUAG
Molecule: regulatory RNA element, 150 nt
Organism: Anaerobium acetethylicum
Lineage: Bacteria; Bacillati; Bacillota; Clostridia; Lachnospirales; Lachnospiraceae
Rfam family: Ribosomal protein L10 leader
About the family: This family is a putative r-protein leader autoregulatory structure found in B. subtilis and other low-GC Gram-positive bacteria. It is located in the 5' untranslated regions of mRNAs encoding ribosomal proteins L10 and L12 (rplJ-rplL).
Source: Rfam